This 1383-nucleotide ribosomal RNA is filed under the name uncultured Coxiella sp. Its description in RNAcentral is "bacterial SSU rRNA". It matches the Rfam family "Bacterial small subunit ribosomal RNA", at positions 140 to 1412 of the family's 1533-position model. The record is from RNAcentral. Lineage: Bacteria; Pseudomonadati; Pseudomonadota; Gammaproteobacteria; Legionellales; Coxiellaceae.
GGGAUAACCUGGGGAAACUCGGGCUAAUACCGCAUGACAGAAGACAGAAGACAGAAGACAGAAGACAGGUGAUUGUGUGACUGCGUCACAGAUUUUGAAAAUUUGUCGCGAAGUGACACAAUGAUCUAUCUUCAGUCCUCUGCCUUCUGUCUUCUGAAAGCGGGGGAUCUUCGGACCUCGCGCUAUAAGAUGAGCCUACGUCGGAUUAGCUUGUUGGUGGGGUAAUGGCCUACCAAGGCGACGAUCCGUAGCUGGUCUGAGAGGAUGGUCAGCCACACUGGGACUGAGACACGGCCCAGACUCCUACGGGAGGCAGCAGUGGGGAAUAUUGGACAAUGGGGGAAACCCUGAUCCAGCAAUGCCGCGUGUGUGAAGAAGGCCUUCGGGUUGUAAAGCACUUUCGGUGGGGAAGAAAUUCUCAAGGGUAAUAUCCUUGGGCGCUGACGUUACCCAUAGAAGAAGCACUGGCUAACUCUGUGCCAGCAGCCGCGGUAAUACAGAGAGUGCAAGCGUUAAUCGGAAUCACUGGGCGUAAAGCGCGCGUAGGUGGAUAUUUAAGUCGGAUGUGAAAGCCCUGGGCUUAACCUAGGAAUUGCACCCGAUACUGGGUAUCUUGAGUAUGGUAGAGGGAAGUGGAAUUUCCGGUGUAGCGGUGAAAUGCGUAGAUAUCGGAAAGAACACCAGUGGCGAAGGCGACUUCCUGGACCAAUACUGACACUGAGGCGCGAAAGCGUGGGGAGCAAACAGGAUUAGAGACCCUGGUAGUCCACGCCGUCAACGAUGAGAACUAGCUGUUGGGGAGUUUACUUCUUAGUAGCGAAGUUAACGCGUUAAGUUCUCCGCCUGGGGAGUAUGGCCGCAAGGUUAAAACUCAAAGAAAUUGACGGGGGCCCGCACAAGCGGUGGAGCAUGUGGUUUAAUUCGAUGCAACGCGAAAAACCUUACCUACCCUUGACAUCCUCGGAACUUGUCAGAGAUGAUUUGGUGCCUUCGGGAACCGAGAGACAGGUGCUGCAUGGCUGUCGUCAGCUCGUGUCGUGAGAUGUUGGGUUAAGUCCCGUAACGAGCGCAACCCUCGUCCUUAGUUGCCAGUGAGUCAUGUCGGGAACUCUAAGGAGACCGCCGGCGAUAAACCGGAGGAAGGUGGGGAUGAUGUCAAGUCAUCAUGGCCCUUACGGGUAGGGCUACACACGUGCUACAAUGGGCAGUACAAAGGGUUGCCAAGCCGCGAGGUGGAGCUAAUCCCAGAAAACUGCUCGUAGUCCGGAUUGGAGUCUGCAACUCGACUCCAUGAAGUUGGAAUCGCUAGUAAUCGCGAAUCAGCAUGUCGCGGUGAAUACGUUCUCGGGCCUUGUACACACCGCCCGUCACACCAUGGGAGUG